RNAcentral lists this ribosomal RNA (253 nucleotides) under uncultured bacterium. RNAcentral describes it as "partial 16S ribosomal RNA". It matches the Rfam family "Bacterial small subunit ribosomal RNA", at positions 524 to 776 of the family's 1533-position model. The record is from RNAcentral.
UACGUAGGGGGCAAGCGUUGUCCGGAAUUAUUGGGCGUAAAGAGCGUGUAGGCGGUCCGGUAAGUCAGCUGUGAAAGUCGAGGGCUCAACCCUUGAAUGCCGGUUGAUACUGUCGGGCUAGAGUCCGGAAGAGGCGAGUGGAAUUCCCGGUGUAGCGGUGAAAUGCGCAGAUAUCAGGAGGAACACCGAUGGCGAAGGCAGGUCUCUGGGCCACUACUGACGCUGAGAAGCGAAAGCAUGGGGAGCGAACAGG